Molecule: long non-coding RNA, 312 nt
Organism: Herpailurus yagouaroundi (jaguarundi)
Lineage: Eukaryota; Metazoa; Chordata; Mammalia; Carnivora; Felidae
Exons: 2
Source: RefSeq, a predicted model, not a curated record
CGUCUGCUUACUGAUGGCCGCCUGGGUGCUGAUGUGCUGUUUCCUCUGUCUUUGCUGCCAAGUGUCCGGAUCGCUGGAGUGAGUGGGAGAGGCGGAAGGGCAGAGGGGGAAAUAGGACAGUGGCAUCGGCACAAAAGGCAGGUGACUUGGAGAAGGCCAUCCGGGGACUCGGCUGUCACCUGGCUCCCUACUGUCCGGCUCCCAGCAACAGAGCCUCAGAGAGCGGUCCUAUGGCAGGGGUCCGGAGAGGUGGCCUGGGCCGCGUCUCCCGGCCCCAGCCCCGUUGUGUGAAAUACAGGCUGUCUGUGUUGA